AUCCGGUUGGCUCAGUCAGAAGAGCAUAUGACUCUUGAUCUUGGAGUUGUGAGUUUGAGCCCCACAUUGGGCA
Felis catus (domestic cat) is the source of this 73-nucleotide transfer RNA. It matches the Rfam family "tRNA". Rfam says of the family: Transfer RNA (tRNA) molecules are approximately 80 nucleotides in length. Their secondary structure includes four short double-helical elements and three loops (D, anti-codon, and T loops). The record is from Rfam. NCBI's taxonomy places the organism in Eukaryota, Metazoa, Chordata, Mammalia, Carnivora, Felidae.